Non-coding RNA from Acanthosepion pharaonis, 89 nucleotides. The record is from the annotation of a GenBank genome assembly. NCBI's taxonomy places the organism in Eukaryota, Metazoa, Mollusca, Cephalopoda, Sepiida, Sepiidae.
GCUGAAACACCAGUUCUCAUACAAUCACAGAAGUUAAGCAAUGUCAGGCCUAGUCAGUACCUAGAUGGGUGACUGCUUGGGAAUACCUG